AAUUGAAGAGUUUGAUCCUGGCUCAGAUUGAACGCUGGCGGCAUGGCUAAAACAUGCAAGUCGAACGAUGUAGCAAUACAUAGUGGCGAAAGGGCGAGGAAUAGAUUCCUACAUACCUCGAGGUCGGGGAUACCCCGGAGAAAUCCGGAUCAAUACCCGAUGUGGUCGAGAGAUCAAAGGUUUACCGCCUUGAGAGUGGGGAAUCUCCUAUCAGCUAGUUGGUGAGGUAAUGGCUCACCAAGGCGAAGACGGGUAGCGGGUGUGAGAGCACGGCCCGCCGCAUCGAGACUGAGACACUGCUCGGACUCCUACGGGAGGCUGCAGUAACGAAUCUUCCGCAAUGCGCGAAAGCGUGACGGGGCAAUGCCGCGUGCAGGAUGAAGCCCCUCGGGGUGUAAAC
Molecule: ribosomal RNA, 400 nt
Filed under: Planctomycetota bacterium
Lineage: Bacteria; Pseudomonadati; Planctomycetota
Description: bacterial SSU rRNA
Rfam family: Bacterial small subunit ribosomal RNA
Source: RNAcentral